AGUGGGGAGGCAACCUGUCUGG
RNAcentral lists this microRNA (22 nucleotides) under Sus scrofa (pig). RNAcentral's name for it is "ssc-mir53". The record is from RNAcentral. Lineage: Eukaryota; Metazoa; Chordata; Mammalia; Artiodactyla; Suidae.